Molecule: ribosomal RNA, 400 nt
Filed under: Priestia endophytica
Lineage: Bacteria; Bacillati; Bacillota; Bacilli; Caryophanales; Bacillaceae
Description: bacterial SSU rRNA
Rfam family: Bacterial small subunit ribosomal RNA
Source: RNAcentral
GGCGACGUGCGGCGUGCCUAUACAUGCAGUCGAGCGAAUGGAUUAAGAGCUUGCUCUUAUGAAGUUAGCGGCGGACGGGUGAGUAACACGUGGGUAACCUGCCCAUAAGACUGGGAUAACUCCGGGAAACCGGGGCUAAUACCGGAUAACAUUUUGAACCGCAUGGUUCGAAAUUGAAAGGCGGCUUCGGCUGUCACUUAUGGAUGGACCCGCGUCGCAUUAGCUAGUUGGUGAGGUAACGGCUCACCAAGGCAACGAUGCGUAGCCGACCUGAGAGGGUGAUCGGCCACACUGGGACUGAGACACGGCCCAGACUCCUACGGGAGGCAGCAGUAGGGAAUCUUCCGCAAUGGACGAAAGUCUGACGGAGCAACGCCGCGUGAGUGAUGAAGGCUUUCGG